CGGGAGCAAUCCUGGUGGCGAGUGGCGAACGGGUGAGUAAUACAUCGGAACGUGUCCUGUAGUGGGGGAUAGCCCGGCGAAAGCCGGAUUAAUACCGCAUACGCUCUACGGAGGAAAGGGGGGGAUCUCAGGACCUCUCGCUACAGGGGCGGCCGAUGGCAGAUUAGCUAGUUGGUGGGGUAAAGGCCUACCAAGGCGACGAUCUGUAGCUGGUCUGAGAGGACGACCAGCCACACUGGGACUGAGACACGGCCCAGACUCCUACGGGAGGCAGCAGUGGGGAAUUUUGGACAAUGGGCGCAAGCCUGAUCCAGCAAUGCCGCGUGUGUGAAGAAGGCCUUCGGGUUGUAAAGCACUUUUGUCCGGAAAGAAAUCCUUUGAGCUAAUACCUCGGGGGGAUGACGGUACCGGAAGAAUAAGCACCGGCUAACUACGUGCCAGCAGCCGCGGUAAUACGUAGGGUGCAAGCGUUAAUCGGAAUUACUGGGCGUAAAGCGUGCGCAGGCGGUUCGCUAAGACAGAUGUGAAAUCCCCGGGCUUAACCUGGGAACUGCAUUUGUGACUGGCGGGCUAGAGUAUGGCAGAGGGGGGUAGAAUUCCACGUGUAGCAGUGAAAUGCGUAGAGAUGUGGAGGA
This 635-nucleotide ribosomal RNA is filed under the name uncultured Burkholderia sp. RNAcentral's name for it is "bacterial SSU rRNA". It matches the Rfam family "Bacterial small subunit ribosomal RNA", at positions 74 to 705 of the family's 1533-position model. The record is from RNAcentral. Lineage: Bacteria; Pseudomonadati; Pseudomonadota; Betaproteobacteria; Burkholderiales; Burkholderiaceae.